UACGGGGGGUGCGAGCGUUGUCCGGAAUCACUGGGCGUAAAGGGCGCGUAGGUGGUUUGAUAAGGGUGUGGUGAAAGUCCGGGGCUCAACCCCGGAUCUGCCGUGCCGACUGUCAAACUCGAGGGCUGUAGAGGCAGACGGAAUUCCGGGUGUAGCGGUGGAAUGCGCAGAUAUCAGGAGGAACACCGGUGGCGAAGGCGGGUCUCUGGGCAGUAACUGACGCUGAGGAGCGAAAGCCAGGGGAGCAAACGGG
This 253-nucleotide ribosomal RNA is filed under the name uncultured bacterium. Its description in RNAcentral is "partial 16S ribosomal RNA". It matches the Rfam family "Bacterial small subunit ribosomal RNA", at positions 524 to 776 of the family's 1533-position model. The record is from RNAcentral.